UCAUUGGAUAUCACGCGCCGCGCGUCGCCUGUCGUGAGUUGCGUCGCGCUGGCUGCCGAAGCCCGAAGACGAGGAAAGGGAUUGACUGCACCCUCGCAAUUGUUCUGAGUGGAGUAACCCAAAUCCCACGAGGACGUCCAAAGUGAUCGUCACGCGUACAUUUUGGGGUCAGUAGAUGAGGAGGAACAGAGGCAGCACGUGCCGCCGACUACACCGUUGUCAGGGUAACGACGACCUUGUCCCGCGCAAUCAGCUCCGGAAUCCUGGUACCCUCUCUUCCGGUAUUUUUACCAAUCGUGGACACACACGUUUGGAAAACAAGAGAAGAAGACAAAGAUUGUAGGACUCGAAAACGGAGUUUUGCGGUCGAUACACAGGCCGUGUUAUUUCCUCAAAAAGGAUUCGACGAUGAUCGAGGUACAAGGAUAGCAGAGAGAGAAGUAGUGCGAGAGAAAAGAGGGGAGGGUGUCGCAGGAA
RNAcentral lists this unclassified non-coding RNA (477 nucleotides) under Ooceraea biroi (clonal raider ant). RNAcentral's name for it is "misc RNA LOC105276742". The record is from RNAcentral. Lineage: Eukaryota; Metazoa; Arthropoda; Insecta; Hymenoptera; Formicidae.